GGAAAACCUGCAGAUGUGGAGGACAAAUGGUGGGAUUCUGACUAUUAUUCACCCAGAAUAACUUGUGCCGAGUUUGUGAAAUCAAAAGGAAAUUUGUGACUUUUUUGGACUGAACCCUCCUCUGGAGCUGAGGAUUGUGUUGAUGGAAAGAACAAAAUUAAUAGGAAUCCCCAGUGGAAAAACUUGACUGGAAACUUUAUCCUGGUUCAAAAUGUUUUUGAUACCAGCAGAAGAACAGCUAAGAAUGAAGCAACGCAGCAAGACGUUGAAUCAAACCAUUUUAGUGUUCAUUGUGGUCACUCUUUAUAGUCAUUUGAAGGACUGAACCCUCCUCUGGAGCUGAGGAUUGUGUUGAUGGAAAGAACAAAAUUAAUAGGAAUCCCCAGUGGAAAAACUUGACUGGAAACUUUAUCCUGGUUCAAAAUGUUUUUGAUACCAGCAGAAGAACAGCUAAGAAUGAAGCAACGCAGCAAGACGUUGAAUCAAACCAUUUUAGUGUUCAUUGUGGUCACUCUUUAUAGUCAUUUGAAGGUAAAAA
Girardinichthys multiradiatus is the source of this 538-nucleotide long non-coding RNA. RefSeq lists it as uncharacterized. NCBI's taxonomy places the organism in Eukaryota, Metazoa, Chordata, Actinopteri, Cyprinodontiformes, Goodeidae. The record is from RefSeq and is a predicted model, not a curated record. The transcript has 3 exons.